Molecule: long non-coding RNA, 1678 nt
Organism: Betta splendens (Siamese fighting fish)
Lineage: Eukaryota; Metazoa; Chordata; Actinopteri; Anabantiformes; Osphronemidae
Source: Ensembl
GCUACAGCUUCUCGUUUUUUGUGAAAAAGAUGAUACAGUAACUUCACUACUGUAGAACUUAUUUAUCUUUCUCUGUGUAACAGCUAUUAGUGAAGUCCCAAGGUCUAUUUGGAAGCAGAAACACAACUGUCCUGGGCCUGACCGGAGGAGAGUUUGGCUUCGGCUGCUGCCCUCAGCACGUUGGCAGAUCCUCAGACGCCGUCGUCUCUCCCUCCAUCGUCUUCUCACAUGCGAGGCCGAGCCAAGACGUGCUUCUGUCAACCUCCACAGCUCCGUGCCAUCAGCUGUGGGCCUCCCACUCUGACUACAGCCGACAGGGCCUUCCUCCAUCCGUUUAGGCUCGUUGGACAUAGUCGUUGUGAGGUUUUGGGGCUCAGAUGGAAGACACAUAGCACAGAGGUGCUGAAGAAGACGCGUUGUAAUCACAAAGAUGGAGGGAUGAUGUCAAUCACAGCAUCUACAGCGCAUGGAGGCCUCAAUGCAGCCAGAAUUGAACGAUCCUCGGUGUCAGAACAGGAGCCACCCUGCUUCUGCUUAGUCUGGAAACCAUUUCCUUUGCAGUCCGAUGGUCCCGACGUUGAUCUUGAGGACAGUCACUGGUGGAGUUCGUAUAUUUAUCGAAGCGCCAUCUCUCAUCUGAAUCCACGCCGUUUUCUUCACAAAAUUGUUUGGUGCUGAAACACGCACGUUUCAACAACAGCGCCGCUCAUCCGCAUGAAUAAUUCCGUCAUCAAAAUGUGCCUCCAAGCACGAGGAGACGCGGGCGCCGUCGUUUGACCAUUAUCCUGAUGCACGUGGUAAGAGAUACAGCUGUCAGAAAGGCCAAAUGGAGGAGCCAGGUUCAGCACCGGGUCAAACCCGAAACAAUUCACGGCUAACGUGACAGCGCUGUCGUCAGGGCCUGCGCCUCAGACGCAUUAGAGAGAAUCAUUAGGGAGUCACGGUGAAUGUCAUAUCAGAAAUCCUUAUGUUCAAAUACAUCCCGCCGUUUGUGUUGUCACUUUUAUUGUUAGUGUCACCUUUAGUGUUUAAUCCUCCAAACCUGUUAAAUAACGGCAUAAAAAAAAGAACUGGUUACAUUGUGUAUUUGCUGCGUUUGCUUGUCUGCAGCCCCACACGUUGUGAGGCAUACACAAACACGUGCGCCGUCGUCUGCGGCGCCAAUCGAAGCAAAGUGGGUCAAACAUUUUAGUGGAACUGUGUUUUGGAUUUGAUUGUAAUGUAGGAAAAUAUGAAUUGACAGUGUGUAUGAGCCAUUGUUAAACUUUAGAGGACGCUUUGCUCUUGAUUAAAUGUGACAUUUCAGAAACAGCUUUUGCUGAACAGUGUUUUUCCGUCUUGUGUUUAUCUCUUGUGGACAGCAGCCUUUCUAGUAUCACUGCGAUGAAUGCAGGCCGAGCGCGAGGCUGUAAUUACUGCAGAUAUUUUAGAAAGAUGUACAAAUACAGAUCUGGUCCAAACACACAAACUUGCUGACUCUCGUUCUGUUCGUACUCGACACAUGUUGCCGCGAACCCAAACAAAGAAGCGGUUUGAAGACAGCCGCCGUUCGGCCGCGGUUGUCAACCGGGCACGUGAUUUACGUCCAGCUGCGGCUCGGCUUCGCAUCGCCCGCUGCCCGUCGCGUUGUGAAGCGGAGGUGCUGCUCGCGGUUCGAUUGGAGCGGCGUGGAGCUGUG